CGGGAACUCAAAGGAGACUGCCAGUGAUAAACUGGAGGAAGGUGGGGAUGACGUCAAGUCAUCAUGGCCCUUACGACCAGGGCUACACACGUGCUACAAUGGCGCAUACAAAGAGAAGCGACCUCGCGAGAGCAAGCGGACCUCAUAAAGUGCGUCGUAGUCCGGAUUGGAGUCUGCAACUCGACUCCAUGAAGUCGGAAUCGCUAGUAAUCGUGGAUCAGAAUGCCACGGUGAAUACGUUCCCGGGCCUUGUACACACCGCCCGUCACACCAUGGGAGUGGGUUGCAAAAGAAGUAGGUAGCUUAACCUUCGGGAGGGCGCUUACCACUUUGUGAUUCAUGACUGGGGUGAAGUCGUAACAAGGUAACCGUAGGGGAACCUGCGGUUGGAUCACCUCCUU
This 401-nucleotide ribosomal RNA is filed under the name Escherichia coli. RNAcentral describes it as "bacterial SSU rRNA". It matches the Rfam family "Bacterial small subunit ribosomal RNA", at positions 1132 to 1532 of the family's 1533-position model. Lineage: Bacteria; Pseudomonadati; Pseudomonadota; Gammaproteobacteria; Enterobacterales; Enterobacteriaceae. The record is from RNAcentral.